GAUGAACGCUGGCGGCGUGCCUAAUACAUGCCAGUCGAGCGAACAGAUAAGGAGCUUGCUCCUUUGACGUUAGCGGCGGACGGGUGAGUAACACGUGGGUAACCUACCUAUAAGACUCGGAUAACUUCGGGAAACCGGAGCUAAUACCGGAUAAUAUUUCGAACCGCAUGGUUCGAUAGUGAAAGAUGGUUUUGCUAUCACUUAUAGAUGGACCCGCGCCGUAUUAGCUAGUUGGUAAGGUAACGGCUUACCAAGGCGACGAUACGUAGCCGACCUGAGAGGGUGAUCGGCCACACUGGAACUGAGACACGGUCCAGACUCCUACGGGAGGCAGCAGUAGGGAAUCUUCCGCAAUGGGCGAAAGCCUGACGGAGCAACGCCGCGUGAGUGAUGAAGGUCUUCGGAUCGUAAAACUCUGUUAUUAGGGAAGAACAUACGUGUAAGUAACUGUGCACGUCUUGACGGUACCUAAUCAGAAAGCCACGGCUAACUACGUG
This 497-nucleotide ribosomal RNA is filed under the name uncultured bacterium. Its description in RNAcentral is "partial 16S ribosomal RNA". It matches the Rfam family "Bacterial small subunit ribosomal RNA", at positions 28 to 507 of the family's 1533-position model. The record is from RNAcentral.